GACAGCAACCAGACAACAACACAAGGCCAAAAGAAAAUUAAAAAGGAAAAGACAUCUUAUGAUAUGCAUUUGACUGGGGAAGGGGGGGGGGGGGGGUACAGGGGUCCUGAUCCCGAAAUCCCGGACUUAAAAACAUGAAAUCCCGAGGUCCCGAAUUUAUAGAAAUUUCAAUCCCGCCAUACCGAAAUUCGAAAAAAAGAAUAGCCGGAUCCAUAAAGGAUCAAUCCCGAAAUCCCGUGCUUAAAAACACCCGAUCCCGGAGUCCCGUUUAAGGUCCCCCUCAUUUGUGUAGAUGGACUAAAUAACAAAACACAAUAUUACCAGUCAUGUCUCAGCUUGUGUGCGAUUGUUUUUUUCUUUUUUUUUUUCGGUUGGGGAAGGGGGGGGUAUUUUUGUAGGCAUAUUAAACAUAAAUAUGUGCAUCUGUUUUUAUGUCAUAUCUCAACCUCCGUAUAUUUGGUUUCCUCGGAAAUGUUUUUACACGAUGUAUUUUCUGGAAAAUACACUGUACUACAAAGACCGUGCAAUGUCUUGAGAGAAAGCGAAAUUCAGAGAGAGAAGCACAUUAAUUUAUUGUCACAUAUA
RNAcentral lists this long non-coding RNA (585 nucleotides) under Mytilus galloprovincialis (Mediterranean mussel). Lineage: Eukaryota; Metazoa; Mollusca; Bivalvia; Mytilida; Mytilidae. The record is from RNAcentral.